AUUGAACGCUGGCGGCAUGCUUUACACAUGCAAGUCGAACGGCAGCGCGGGCUUCGGCCUGGCUGCGAGUGGCGAACGGGUGCGUAAUGCCUCGGAACCUUCCCCGUAGUGGGGGAUAGCCCGGCUCACACCGGAUUACUACCGCAUACCACCUGACGGUGAACGCGUGGGACCGAGAGCCCUCGCGCUAUUGGAGCGGCCGAUGUCGGAUUCGCUAGUUGGUGGGGUAAAGGCUUACCAAGGCGACGAUCCGUAGCUGGUCUGAGAGGACGACCAGCCACACUGGGACUGAGACACGGCCCAGACUCCUACGGGAGGCAGCAGUGGGGAAUUGUGGACAAUGGGGGCAACCCUGAUCCAGCCAUGCCGCGUGCGGGAAGAAGGCCUUCGGGUUGUAAACCGCUUUUGUUCGGGAAGAAAUCCUCUGGGCUAAUACCCCGGGGGGAUGACGGUACCGGAAGAAUAAGCACCGGCUAACUACGUG
RNAcentral lists this ribosomal RNA (484 nucleotides) under uncultured bacterium. Its description in RNAcentral is "partial 16S ribosomal RNA". It matches the Rfam family "Bacterial small subunit ribosomal RNA", at positions 28 to 507 of the family's 1533-position model. The record is from RNAcentral.